GAACCCGGCGGGAUGCGUUCCUUGAACCCAGCGGCCAGGUUUACCCAAAAAGGCAAAGUCAACCCUGCAAAGAAUUCCGCUGCCUCCGAGGUGGUGUCCCAGUGCCAGGCACAGGGCGCAUGCCCCAGGGAGGCACCCAGCUGCCUCCAGCUCCACCGGGGCGAGUGGACCCGCUGCGGAUGGACGGACCCUUUGGCACGCCGGAGCGAGUGCCACAGCCCUGCUGCACUUGCAGCCCAAGACAGCUGGACCCUGGAGAUCUUUCCUCAGUGA
This 273-nucleotide long non-coding RNA is filed under the name Falco tinnunculus (common kestrel). RNAcentral describes it as "lncRNA (ENSFTIG00000003206.1)". Lineage: Eukaryota; Metazoa; Chordata; Aves; Falconiformes; Falconidae. The record is from RNAcentral.